UAUCAUUUAAAUCACCUUACACAAUAGAACAACGAAAAACGAUGUGUGGCGGGCAAUCUGUUCAUAUGGGCAUGAGUCGAGGUGUCGGGGCAUUUCACUUGAUAUUAGAACUAGAAUAAGAGGUAAGGUACGCGCACAGCGAAACAGAUGAUGGGAGGGAAGAGGGAAGGAGAAGGGGUAUAUGUCUUUGCAGCAUAAAUUAUAUCGGUUG
Molecule: long non-coding RNA, 211 nt
Filed under: Carica papaya (papaya)
Lineage: Eukaryota; Viridiplantae; Streptophyta; Magnoliopsida; Brassicales; Caricaceae
Description: long non-coding RNA (CPAP_LNC015411)
Source: RNAcentral